CUACGGGCGGCACCAGUGGGGAAUAUUGCACAAUGGGGGGAACCCUGAUGCAGCAACGCCGCGUGGAGGAUGACGCAUUUCGGUGUGUAAACUCCUUUUAUAUGUCAAGAAAAUGACGGUAGCAUAUGAAUAAGCACCGGCUAACUCCGUGCCAGCAGCCGCGGUAAUACGGAGGGUGCAAGCGUUACUCGGAAUCACUGGGCGUAAAGGACGCGUAGGCGGGUUGGAAAGUCAGGUGUGAAAUCCUACAGCUUAACUGUAGAACUGCACUUGAAACUUCUAAUCUAGAGUAUGGGAGGGGGAGAUGGAAUUAGUGGUGUAGGGGUAAAAUCCGUAGAUAUCACUAGGAAUACCUAAAGCGAAGGCGAUCUCCUGGAACAUUACUGACGCUAAGGCGUGAAAGCGUGGGGAGCAAACAGGAUUAGAUACCCGCGUAGUC
This 439-nucleotide ribosomal RNA is filed under the name uncultured bacterium. Its description in RNAcentral is "partial 16S ribosomal RNA". It matches the Rfam family "Bacterial small subunit ribosomal RNA", at positions 339 to 795 of the family's 1533-position model. The record is from RNAcentral.